The sequence is a small nuclear RNA, 178 nucleotides long. Its record names the gene U2. It matches the Rfam family "U2 spliceosomal RNA". From Rfam's summary of the family: U2 is a small nuclear RNA (snRNA) component of the spliceosome (involved in pre-mRNA splicing). Complementary binding between U2 snRNA (in an area lying towards the 5' end but 3' to hairpin I) and the branchpoint sequence (BPS) of the intron results the bulging out of an unpaired adenosine, on the BPS, which initiates a nucleophilic attack at the intronic 5' splice site, thus starting the first of two transesterification reactions that mediate splicing. The record is from Ensembl.
AAAACUUUUCCAAAAGAAAAAAAAAUCUGUUCUUAUCAGUUUAAUAUCUGAUACGUCCCCUAUCUGGGGACCAUAUAUUAAAUAGAUUUUUGGAAUAGGGAGAUGGAAUAGGGGCUUGCUCCGUCCACUCCAUGCAUCGACCUGGUAUUGCAGUACCUCCAGGAACGGUGCACCCCCU